Molecule: ribosomal RNA, 528 nt
Filed under: uncultured bacterium
Lineage: Bacteria
Description: bacterial SSU rRNA
Rfam family: Bacterial small subunit ribosomal RNA
Source: RNAcentral
AAUAGAUACCCCGGUAGUCCACGCCGUAAACGAUGAGUGCUAAGUGUUAGAGGGUUUCCGCCCUUUAGUGCUGAAGUUAACGCAUUAAGCACUCCGCCUGGGGAGUACGGCCGCAAGGCUGAAACUCAAAGGAAUUGACGGGGGCCCGCACAAGCGGUGGAGCAUGUGGUUUAAUUCGAAGCAACGCGAAGAACCUUACCAGGUCUUGACAUCCUCUGACAACCCUAGAGAUAGGGCUUCUCCUUCGGGAGCAGAGUGACAGGUGGUGCAUGGUUGUCGUCAGCUCGUGUCGUGAGAUGUUGGGUUAAGUCCCGCAACGAGCGCAACCCUUGAUCUUAGUUGCCAUCAUUCAGUUGGGCACUCUAAGGUGACUGCCGGUGACAAACCGGAGGAAGGUGGGGAUGACGUCAAAUCAUCAUGCCCCUUAUGACCUGGGCUACACACGUGCUACAAUGGACGGUACAAAGAGCUGCAAGACCGCGAGGUGGAGCUAAUCUCAAUAAAACCGUUCUCAGUUCGGAUUGUAGG